Molecule: non-coding RNA, 225 nt
Organism: Vicia faba (fava bean)
Lineage: Eukaryota; Viridiplantae; Streptophyta; Magnoliopsida; Fabales; Fabaceae
Source: the annotation of a GenBank genome assembly
AUGGAUACACGUGAUAUUCUCAAUGGGCAAUCUCCAAUACUGAAGGUGAUGAUCGGCGAUCUGGGUCCGUCUGUUGCGUCGUCGACGAUGGAGGUGUGGCUCCCAGCCUAUAUCGGUUGCUUCUGGAUCGGAAGUGUGGAGGUUAUGCCGAAAUCAGUGGUUGUUGAGAGGAGAGAUUAUCACCAAGAAAGUGACAGUGAAGUUGUUAUUGUCCUGCUUGUGUAG